GCCGGGUGUGGUGGCGCAUGCUUGUAAUCCUAUCUACUCAGGAGGCUGAGGCAGGAGAAUCACUUGAACUCAGGAGGUGGAGGUUGCAGUGAGCCGAGAUCGUGCCACUGCAGUCUAGCCUGGGUGACAGAGUAAGACUCUGUCUCAA
Molecule: unclassified non-coding RNA, 148 nt
Organism: Papio anubis (olive baboon)
Lineage: Eukaryota; Metazoa; Chordata; Mammalia; Primates; Cercopithecidae
Rfam family: Metazoan signal recognition particle RNA
About the family: The signal recognition particle (SRP) is a universally conserved ribonucleoprotein.
Source: Ensembl